This 74-nucleotide transfer RNA is filed under the name Ixodes scapularis (black-legged tick). It matches the Rfam family "tRNA". Rfam says of the family: Transfer RNA (tRNA) molecules are approximately 80 nucleotides in length. Their secondary structure includes four short double-helical elements and three loops (D, anti-codon, and T loops). The record is from Rfam by way of RNAcentral. Lineage: Eukaryota; Metazoa; Arthropoda; Arachnida; Ixodida; Ixodidae.
CCCUGGUUAGCUCAGUUGGUAGAGCGCUCCACUUGUAAUGGAGAGGUACCCGGGUUCGAUACCCGGACCAGGCG